GGUUAAGCGACUAAGCGUACACGGUGGAUGCCCUGGCAGUCAGAGGCGAUGAAGGACGUGCUAAUCUGCGAAAAGCGUCGGUAAGGUGAUAUGAACCGUUACAGCCGGCGAUGUCCGAAUGGGGAAACCCAGUGCAAUUCGUUGCACUAUCGUUAACUGAAUACAUAGGUUAACGAGGCGAACCGGGGGAACUGAAACAUCUAAGUACCCCGAGGAAAAGAAAUCAACCGAGAUUCCCCCAGUAGCGGCGAGCGAACGGGGAGCAGCCCAGAGUCUGAAUCAGCUUGUGUGUUAGUGGAACGGUCUGGAAAGUCCGACGGUACAGGGUGAUAGUCCCGUACACCAAAAUGCACAGGUUGUGAACUCGAAGAGUAGGGCGGGACACGUGGUAUCCUGUCUGAAUAUGGGGGGACCAUCCUCCAAGGCUAAAUACUCCUGACUGACCGAUAGUGAACCAGUACCGUGAGGGAAAGGCGAAAAGAACCCCGGCGAGGGGAGUGAAAAAGAACCUGAAACCGUGUACGUACAAGCAGUGGGAGCACCUUCGGGUGUGACUGCGUACCUUUUGUAUAAUGGGUCAGCGACUUAUAUUCUGUAGCAAGGUUAACCGUAUAGGGGAGCCGCAGGGAAACCGAGUCUUAACUGGGCGUUAAGUUGCAGGGUAUAGACCCGAAACCCGGUGAUCUAGCCAUGGGCAGGUUGAAGGUUGGGUAACACUAACUGGAGGACCGAACCGACUAAUGUUGAAAAAUUAGCGGAUGACUUGUGGCUGGGGGUGAAAGGCCAAUCAAACCGGGAGAUAGCUGGUUCUCCCCGAAAGCUAUUUAGGUAGCGCCUCGUGAACUCAUCUUCGGGGGUAGAGCACUGUUUCGGCUAGGGGGUCAUCCCGACUUACCAACCCGAUGCAAACUACGAAUACCGAAGAAUGUUAUCACGGGAGACACACGGCGGGUGCUAACGUCCGUCGUGAAGAGGGAAACAACCCAGACCGCCAGCUAAGGUCCCAAAGUCAUGGUUAAGUGGGAAACGAUGUGGGAAGGCACAGACAGCCAGGAUGUUGGCUUAGAAGCAGCCAUCAUUUAAAGAAAGCGUAAUAGCUCACUGGUCGAGUCGGCCUGCGCGGAAGAUGUAACGGGGCUAAACCAUGCACCGAAGCUGCGGCAGCGACACUAUGUGUUGUUGGGUAGGGGAGCGUUCUGUAAGCCUGCGAAGGUGACCUGUGAGGGUUGCUGGAGGUAUCAGAAGUGCGAAUGCUGACAUAAGUAACGAUAAAGCGGGUGAAAAGCCCGCUCGCCGGAAGACCAAGGGUUCCUGUCCAACGUUAAUCGGGGCAGGGUGAGUCGACCCCUAAGGCGAGGCCGAAAGGCGUAGUCGAUGGGAAACAGGUUAAUAUUCCUGUACUUGGUGUUACUGCGAAGGGGGGACGGAGAAGGCUAUGUUAGCCGGGCGACGGUUGUCCCGGUUUAAGCAUGUAGGCUGAUUGUCCAGGCAAAUCCGGAUAAUCAAGGCUGAGGUGUGAUGACGAGGCACUACGGUGCUGAAGUAACAAAUGCCCUGCUUCCAGGAAAAGCCUCUAAGCAUCAGGUAACAUCAAAUCGUACCCCAAACCGACACAGGUGGUCAGGUAGAGAAUACCAAGGCGCUUGAGAGAACUCGGGUGAAGGAACUAGGCAAAAUGGUGCCGUAACUUCGGGAGAAGGCACGCUGGUGUGUAGGUGAAGUCCCUGCGGAUGGAGCUGAGACCAGUCGAAGAUACCAGCUGGCUGCAACUGUUUAUUAAAAACACAGCACUGUGCAAACACGAAAGUGGACGUAUACGGUGUGACGCCUGCCCGGUGCCGGAAGGUUAAUUGAUGGGGUUAUCCGUAAGGAGAAGCUCUUGAUCGAAGCCCCGGUAAACGGCGGCCGUAACUAUAACGGUCCUAAGGUAGCGAAAUUCCUUGUCGGGUAAGUUCCGACCUGCACGAAUGGCGUAAUGAUGGCCAGGCUGUCUCCACCCGAGACUCAGUGAAAUUGAACUCGCUGUGAAGAUGCAGUGUACCCGCGGCAAGACGGAAAGACCCCGUGAACCUUUACUAUAGCUUGACACUGAACAUUGAGCCUUGAUGUGUAGGAUAGGUGGGAGGCUUUGAAGCGUGGACGCCAGUCUGCGUGGAGCCAACCUUGAAAUACCACCCUUUAAUGUUUGAUGUUCUAACGUUGGCCCCUUACCGGGGUUGCGGACAGUGUCUGGUGGGUAGUUUGACUGGGGCGGUCUCCUCCCAAAGCGUAACGGAGGAGCACGAAGGUUAGCUAAUCCUGGUCGGACAUCAGGAGGUUAGUGCAAUGGCAUAAGCUAGCUUGACUGCGAGCGUGACGGCGCGAGCAGGUGCGAAAGCAGGUCAUAGUGAUCCGGUGGUUCUGAAUGGAAGGGCCAUCGCUCAACGGAUAAAAGGUACUCCGGGGAUAACAGGCUGAUACCGCCCAAGAGUUCAUAUCGACGGCGGUGUUUGGCACCUCGAUGUCGGCUCAUCACAUCCUGGGGCUGAAGUAGGUCCCAAGGGUAUGGCUGUUCGCCAUUUAAAGUGGUACGCGAGCUGGGUUUAGAACGUCGUGAGACAGUUCGGUCCCUAUCUGCCGUGGGCGCUGGAGAAUUGAGGGGGGCUGCUCCUAGUACGAGAGGACCGGAGUGGACGCAUCACUGGUGUUCGGGUUGUCAUGCCAAUGGCACUGCCCGGUAGCUAAAUGCGGAAGAGAUAAGUGCUGAAAGCAUCUAAGCACGAAACUUGCCCCGAGAUGAGUUCUCCCUGAGACUUUAAGUCUCCUGAAGGAACGUUAAAGACGAUGACGUUGAUAGGCCGGGUGUGUAAGCGCAGCGAUGCGUUGAGCUAACCGGUACUAAUGAACCGUGAGGCUUAACCUU
RNAcentral lists this ribosomal RNA (2902 nucleotides) under Klebsiella pneumoniae. Its description in RNAcentral is "23S ribosomal RNA". It matches the Rfam family "Bacterial large subunit ribosomal RNA". Lineage: Bacteria; Pseudomonadati; Pseudomonadota; Gammaproteobacteria; Enterobacterales; Enterobacteriaceae. The record is from RNAcentral.